Non-coding RNA from Python bivittatus (Burmese python), 1903 nucleotides. The record is from RefSeq and is a predicted model, not a curated record. Lineage: Eukaryota; Metazoa; Chordata; Lepidosauria; Squamata; Pythonidae.
CAAACAUACUAAGUCAAAACAUAGUUUGCUUGUAUCUGAUGUAUCACAGUGGACAUCCAAAUCUUUUGCCUAGGAGGUUACAGAGGUAUGCGAUUAUCCCAGAUCUUCAGACACAUUAGCUAUGUUUGCUAGACCCACCAUGUUAUAAAGCAAAGUCAGCAAGUAUGGGCACGGGGAUCUGAAAUGUACGACGUCUGGAAUUCCAAACCCAGAGUCUGUUACCUACAAAUGCAUGCUCAUUCAUUAACUUUACAUUUUAUUCGGCAUGUUCUGCCUCCACAGCCAGCUUACCACAGAAGUAAUGGGUAACUCAAACUAUUAUUUGCUUUCUUGAUGAGAUUACAUUGGCAGUCACUCAACGCCAGCCAAGAGUUAUACUUUUCUUUACCCUUUGGCGUUCACCUGGAUCCUUACAGUCCAAAUUUGAUUGCCCUAAGAGAGUCAUUUACAGGCUGAACCAGUCUUGGAAGUCACACCUGUCUUACACACUUGGCCAACCCCGUUCCCAAGAUAGUUUCAGCUAUGAUCUGUGCUAUAGCCAAACGAAAGCAGCACGAUGACGAAGCCCCGAGAGUUACCACUGACUUGACUUCCUUGCAUCUAUCAUAGCUUUGCUUUGAACCGGUAUUUCCUGAUCCAGAGUCAGGAUGGCGGAAUGAAAGAGAACGGAGAGAAACUGGGCUUACUUCUGGCCAGCGCGAAAUGCUGGAAGCUCCUCCUUUGAAGGCCGGGGCAUCAACAGUCAGACUGCGCUUUAGCUACUUUUUCCAGCAACGGUUCAGAGACUGUCUCCGCGCUAUGUUGAACUAGCGGGGCGUUCGCUGGGAUAUACGUGUCUGCACUUCCGUGUGCCGUUCAAACUCAGAAAACUCGACUGAGAAAAACGUGGCUAAAACACCCGGGGGUGCGCACGGCUAAAAUAGGGUCAGCUGCUUUGUGGUUCAGUGUGUCUUGCAGGGAUCUAGCCCGAGUGGUGGAUCAAAGUCUCCGAAAAGGCGACCCAGCAGGACUCUGGACAAACGGUUAAAUUAGCAGUGGCGGUGUAGUUCGGUAACCGGAGCCCCUGGACUUUGUAGUCCUGCUUCGACACCUCCCCCCUCGUAAUGCCAAACCCUCUGCUGGGCUUGAGGGCACCUCCUACGUUUUUGGUUGUCCGAAGCCCCCAACUUCUACUCCGGAGUCCUGCUCGAACGGCGCCGCCUCACUGUCCAAUCACGUCCUUGGAUCCGGGCAGUCCCCUCCCCUCCGUUCUCUCUCUUUCCUUUCAUUGUUCGGUUUGCCUUGAUCUGCAUUUGGAGAGCGGUUAUGCUAACUGUGUUUGGGUUGCACAGGUGCGUGUGCGCCAGUAGGCAGCGGCGUUUCUUUCUCCAGGCAGGGGCCUCCCGAACUCCUCCGGCUGGUGCCCGAGGCCUCAUCCUUCCCUUUCGGGAGGGAGGCGAGCGGUGUAAGCGCGCUUACCUGCUUGCUGCAACCGAGCAGCCGCGCCCUUGAGAAAACGCCGCCCCCAAGGUUCGUUUUCCUUCCUCCUCCUGAAACAGGAAAUUGCCUGACUCAGGAAAGAUUCCAGAAUAGUGCCUACCCUCCCUUGUCCCAGGCAGCUUCCACCUCAGACGAGAAUUCAGAGGCGCGGCCUCUGCUUGGAUCGCUUUUAUAUCUCUAGGUGCUAUUAACACGUUCCUGCGUCGUCUUCCAAGUGCCGGGCAAUUUUCCAGACAAAUUAUUUUCUACUCCAGAGAGCAGACACCAAUAUCGCCAUCUCCUUGUGAAUGGGAGUGUAGCUGUAACUUGAACCCAAGGCAUCUUACAGGAAGUGCAUUAAGAAGACUGAAGCCAGACCUUCUUCCCCAGGGCCCAGUCAUGGAAGAGCUGAUAUGGGAACAGUACUCAGUGACCUUACACAAGG